GCUGGGUGCAGUGGCGUAUGCCUGUAAUCCCAGUGGCUCAGGAGGCUGAGACAGGAAGAUCAUAAGUUCAAAGCCAGCCUCCGUAAAAGCGAGGCCCCAAGCAACUCAGUGAGACCCUGUCUCUA
Molecule: small RNA, 125 nt
Filed under: Marmota monax (woodchuck)
Lineage: Eukaryota; Metazoa; Chordata; Mammalia; Rodentia; Sciuridae
Source: RNAcentral